CUAAAGACUGGGAUACCACUUGGAAACAGGUGCUAAUACCGGAUAACAACAUGAAUCGCAUGAUUCAAGUUUGAAAGGCGGCGUAAGCUGUCACUUUAGGAUGAGCCCGCGGCGCAUUAGCUAGUUGGUGGGGUAAAGGCCUACCAAGGCAAUGAUGCGUAGCCGAGUUGAGAGACUGAUCGGCCACAUUGGGACUGAGACACGGCCCAAAGAAGAAGGAUAGAGGCAGUAACUGGUCUUUAUUUGACGGUAAUCAACCAGAAAGUCA
This 268-nucleotide ribosomal RNA is filed under the name Lactobacillus delbrueckii subsp. bulgaricus. RNAcentral describes it as "partial 16S ribosomal RNA". The stretch from base 1 to 230 matches the Rfam family "Bacterial small subunit ribosomal RNA", at positions 131 to 355 of the family's 1533-position model. Lineage: Bacteria; Bacillati; Bacillota; Bacilli; Lactobacillales; Lactobacillaceae. The record is from RNAcentral.